UACGUAGGGUGCAAGCGUUAAUCGGAAUUACUGGGCGUAAAGCGUGCGCAGGCGGUUAUGUAAGACAGAUGUGAAAUGCCCGGGCUUAAACUGGGAACUGCAUUUGUGACUGCAUGGCUAGAGUUUGGCAGAGGGGGGUAGAAUUCCACGUGUAGCAGUGAAAUGCGUAGAUAUGUGGAGGAACACCGAUGGCGAGGGCAGCCCCCUGGGUCAAGACUGACGCUCAUGCACGAAAGCGUGGGGAGCAAACAGG
This 253-nucleotide ribosomal RNA is filed under the name uncultured bacterium. Its description in RNAcentral is "partial 16S ribosomal RNA". It matches the Rfam family "Bacterial small subunit ribosomal RNA", at positions 524 to 776 of the family's 1533-position model. The record is from RNAcentral.